AGUGAACGCUGGCGGUAGGCCUAACACAUGCAAGUCGAACGGCAGCACAGUAAGAGCUUGCUCUUACGGGUGGCGAGUGGCGGACGGGUGAGGAAUACAUCGGAAUCUACUUUUUCGUGGGGGAUAACGUAGGGGAACUUACGCUAAUACCGCAUACGACCUACGGGUGAAAGCAGGGGAUCUUCGGACCUUGCGCGAUUGAAUGAGCCGAUGUCGGAUUAGCUAGUUGGCGGGGUAAAGGCCCACCAAGGCGACGAUCCGUAGCCGGUCUGAGAGGAUGAUCAGCCACACUGGAACUGAGACACGGUCCAGACUCCUACGGGAGGCAGCAGUGGGGAAUAUUGGACAACAGGCGCAAGCCUGAUCCAGCCAUACCGCGUGGGUGAAGAAGGCCUUCGGGUUGUAAAGCCCUUUUGUUGGGAAAGAAAAGCAGCAGGUUAAUACCCCGCUGUUCUGACGGUACCCAAAGAAUAAGCACCGGCUAACUUCGUG
This 492-nucleotide ribosomal RNA is filed under the name uncultured bacterium. RNAcentral describes it as "partial 16S ribosomal RNA". It matches the Rfam family "Bacterial small subunit ribosomal RNA", at positions 29 to 507 of the family's 1533-position model. The record is from RNAcentral.